Molecule: ribosomal RNA, 253 nt
Filed under: uncultured bacterium
Lineage: Bacteria
Description: partial 16S ribosomal RNA
Rfam family: Bacterial small subunit ribosomal RNA
Source: RNAcentral
UACGUAGGUGGCAAGCGUUGUCCGGAAUUACUGGGCGUAAAGGGUUCGUAGGUGGCCUACUAAGUCAGACGUGAAAUCCCUCGGCUCAACCGGGGAACUGCGUCCGAUACUGGCGGGCUUGAAUUCGGGAGAGGGAUGUGGAAUUCCAGGUGUAGCGGUGAAAUGCGUAGAUAUCUGGAGGAACACCGGUGGCGAAGGCGGCAUCCUGGACCGACAUUGACGCUGAGGCGCGAAAGCCAGGGGAGCAAACGGG